RNAcentral lists this ribosomal RNA (910 nucleotides) under uncultured bacterium. Its description in RNAcentral is "bacterial SSU rRNA". It matches the Rfam family "Bacterial small subunit ribosomal RNA", at positions 10 to 916 of the family's 1533-position model. The record is from RNAcentral.
AGUUUGAUCCUGGCUCAGAUUGAACGCUGGCGGCAUGCCUUACACAUGCAAGUCGAACGGCAGCGCGGGGGCAACCCUGGCGGCGAGUGGCGAACGGGUGAGUAAUACAUCGGAACGUGUCCUGUAGUGGGGGAUAGCCCGGCGAAAGCCGGAUUAAUACCGCAUACGCUCUACGGAGGAAAGGGGGGGAUCUUAGGACCUCUCGCUACAGGGGCGGCCGAUGGCAGAUUAGCUAGUUGGUGGGGUAAAGGCCUACCAAGGCGACGAUCUGUAGCUGGUCUGAGAGGACGACCAGCCACACUGGGACUGAGACGCGGCCCAGACUCCUACGGGAGGCAGCAGUGGGGAAUUUUGGACAAUGGGCGCAAGCCUGAUCCAGCCAUGCCGCGUGUGUGAAGAAGGCCUUCGGGUUGUAAAGCACUUUUGUCCGGAAAGAAAACGCCGUGGUUAAUACCCGUGGCGGAUGACGGUACCGGAAGAAUAAGCACCGGCUAACUACGUGCCAGCAGCCGCGGUAAUACGUAGGGUGCAAGCGUUAAUCGGAAUUACUGGGCGUAAAGCGUGCGCAGGCGGUCCGCUAAGACAGAUGUGAAAUCCCCGGGCUUAACCUGGGAACUGCAUUUGUGACUGGCGGGCUAGAGUAUGGCAGAGGGGGGUAGAAUUCCACGUGUAGCAGUGAAAUGCGUAGAGAUGUGGAGGAAUACCGAUGGCGAAGGCAGCCCCCUGGGCCAAUACUGACGCUCAUGCACGAAAGCGUGGGGAGCAAACAGGAUUAGAUACCCUGGUAGUCCACGCCCUAAACGAUGUCAACUAGUUGUUGGGGAUUCAUUUCCUUAGUAACGUAGCUAACGCGUGAAGUUGACCGCCUGGGGAGUACGGUCGCAAGAUUAAAACUCAAAGGAAUUGACGG